Molecule: non-coding RNA, 75 nt
Organism: Podarcis lilfordi (Lilford's wall lizard)
Lineage: Eukaryota; Metazoa; Chordata; Lepidosauria; Squamata; Lacertidae
Source: the annotation of a GenBank genome assembly
AGAGGUGCCAUGGCUCAGUGGCAGAGCAUCUGCUAAGCAUUCAACAGGUCCUGGGUUCAAACCCUGGCAUUUCCA